Molecule: transfer RNA, 84 nt
Filed under: Phenylobacterium zucineum
Lineage: Bacteria; Pseudomonadati; Pseudomonadota; Alphaproteobacteria; Caulobacterales; Caulobacteraceae
Description: tRNA-Ser
Rfam family: tRNA
About the family: Transfer RNA (tRNA) molecules are approximately 80 nucleotides in length.
Source: RNAcentral
GGAUAAAUGGCUGAGUGGUUUAAAGCGCUAGUCUUGAAAAUUAGUAUAUUAUAAAUAUCAUAGGUUCGAAUCCUAUUUUAUCCA